Bos taurus (domestic cattle) is the source of this 72-nucleotide non-coding RNA. The record is from Rfam. NCBI's taxonomy places the organism in Eukaryota, Metazoa, Chordata, Mammalia, Artiodactyla, Bovidae.
UCCCUGGUGGCUCAGACAGUAAAGAAUCUGCCUGCAAUGCAGUAGACCCAGGUUUGAUCCCUGGGUUGGGAA